RNAcentral lists this long non-coding RNA (521 nucleotides) under Homo sapiens (human). Its description in RNAcentral is "novel transcript". Lineage: Eukaryota; Metazoa; Chordata; Mammalia; Primates; Hominidae. The record is from RNAcentral.
GGGGUCAGCCAAGCCAGUGGGAAGCCUACGACAUUCCCCUGGGUCACUUAGUGAACUCCUACUCUUUCAUCAGGCCUCACUUGAACAUGACUUCCUCCAGAAGCCUUCCCAGACAUCUUUGAGCUAGAAAGUCAGAAGAGUAGAAUUGGAACCCAGCUCAGUCUGAUGCCACAUCCUUUGUUGUUUCCAUUAAAUCAGAGAAUUUCUUAGUGCUGAGAAACUAUUCUGGAACUUACAACAAAGGCAAGUGGGAAGGGAGUCGCCUGGAAUUUGAUCUCUGUAGAUGCCUUUUUCAUUUAGUUUAUUUUUCAUUUUUAUCUGUUGCUUUGCUCUUAUCAAAUACAGAUAAAUAGCAGCUGCUACUGGUGCUGUUGAUUGCGAUUUCUGUUUGAAAAUGGAAUCUUGAGCAUCUGUUCUCUCCUUUUAUAUUUUACUGUGAGAGAAAAUCUAUUUUUUUCAAAAGGUAAUUCAUACACAUGGUAAAAAUUUAAACAAUAUAAAAACCUAUUUUUAAAAAACAU